This 388-nucleotide ribosomal RNA is filed under the name uncultured bacterium. RNAcentral describes it as "bacterial SSU rRNA". It matches the Rfam family "Bacterial small subunit ribosomal RNA", at positions 30 to 416 of the family's 1533-position model. The record is from RNAcentral.
AUUGAACGCUGGCGGCAUGCUUUACACAUGCAAGUCGAACGGAUCUAGGGGCUUGCUCCUAGGUUAGUGGCGAACGGGUGAGUAAUGCAUCGGAACGUACCGUGUAGUGGGGGAUAACCCGGCCGAAAGUACGGAUUAAUACCGCAUACGAUCUACGGAUGAAAGCGGGGGACCGUUCGGCCGUCGCGCUAUACGAGCGGCCGAUGUCGGAUUAGCUAGUUGGUGAGGUAAAGGCUCACCAAGGCUACGAUCCCUAGCUGGUCUGAGAGGAUGAUCAGCCACACUGGAACUGAGACACGGUCCAGACUCCUACGGGAGGCAGCAGUGGGGAAUAUUGGACAAUGGGCGGAAAGCCUGAUCCAGCCAUGCCGCGUGUGUGAAGAAGGCC